Acanthosepion pharaonis is the source of this 110-nucleotide non-coding RNA. NCBI's taxonomy places the organism in Eukaryota, Metazoa, Mollusca, Cephalopoda, Sepiida, Sepiidae. The record is from the annotation of a GenBank genome assembly.
UUACGGCCACAUCAUAUUGAAACACCGGUUCCCGUAUGAUCACCGAAGUUAAGCAAUGUUGAACCUGUUCAGUACCUAGAUGGGUGACCGUUUGGGAAUAGCAGCUUCUG